Molecule: ribosomal RNA, 495 nt
Filed under: uncultured bacterium
Lineage: Bacteria
Description: partial 16S ribosomal RNA
Rfam family: Bacterial small subunit ribosomal RNA
Source: RNAcentral
UGAACGCUGGCGGCGUGCCUCAUACAUGCAAGUCGAGCGAACAGACGCGGAGCUUGCUCCUCUGACGUUAGCGGCGGACGGGUGAGUAACACGUGGAUAACCUACCUAUAAGACUGGGAUAACUUCGGGAAACCGGAGCUAAUACCGGAUAAUAUAUUGAACCGCAUGGUUCACUAGUGAAAGACGGUUUUGCUGUCACUUAUAGAUGGAUCCGCGCCGCAUUAGCUAGUUGGUCAGGUAACGGCUUACCAAGGCGACGAUGCGUAGCCGACCUGAGAGGGUGAUCGGCCACACUGGAACUGAGACACGGUCCAGACUCCUACGGGAGGCAGCAGUAGGGAAUCUUCCGCAAUGGGCGAAAGCCUGACGGAGCAACGCCGCGUGAGUGAUGAAGGUCUUCGGAUCGUAAAACUCUGUUAUUAGGGAAGAACAAAUGUGUAAGUAACUAUGCACGUCUUGACGGUACCUAAUCAGAAAGCCACGGCUAACUACGUG